UCGGGACUCGUUCCUUUAAUGCUACCGAUAAAACCGAGACGACUCGGGUUCAACUCGGAUCCUCUGUGUGUGUGUCUCUCUCUCCCCUCUCUGCAACGACGAGACGCCCGAUCGUGUUUACCUCGGAAGAACGGGAGCGCGUUGACGUGGAGAUUCUCUUUUCCAGGCUCACCCUCGUUGACUAUUUGUUUCACGUUCUCUGUGGGCUCAUCCUGCCCUCGCUCAGCAGAGCAGCUGGGCCUCCGCCGGGCAAGCCAGUCGUCCGACUCCUGCCAUCGUCGCACUCCAGCGCUCAACUUCCGGGCCUGUAGCCGCCCAGAAGGGGACAACGGCC
Molecule: long non-coding RNA, 334 nt
Filed under: Spirodela polyrhiza (greater duckweed)
Lineage: Eukaryota; Viridiplantae; Streptophyta; Magnoliopsida; Alismatales; Araceae
Description: long non-coding RNA (SPOL_LNC002112)
Source: RNAcentral